GACGGGGGGUCCAAGCGUUGUUCGGAAUCAUUGGGCGUAAAGGGUGCGUAGGCGGUCGUGCAAGUCGGAUGUGAAAUCUCAGGGCUCAACCCUGAAACUGCAUUCGAUACUGCGCGGCUAGAGUGCUGGAGGGGAGACUGGAAUUUACGGUGUAGCAGUGAAAUGCGUAGAUAUCAAGAGGAACACCUGAGGUGAAGACGGGUUGCUGGGCUGACACUGACGCUGAGGCGCGAAAGCCAGGGGAGCAAACGGG
This 253-nucleotide ribosomal RNA is filed under the name uncultured bacterium. RNAcentral describes it as "partial 16S ribosomal RNA". It matches the Rfam family "Bacterial small subunit ribosomal RNA", at positions 524 to 776 of the family's 1533-position model. The record is from RNAcentral.